Molecule: unclassified non-coding RNA, 2443 nt
Filed under: Homo sapiens (human)
Lineage: Eukaryota; Metazoa; Chordata; Mammalia; Primates; Hominidae
Description: HLA complex group 18 (ENSG00000230660.6)
Source: RNAcentral
UGGAGUUUUUAGCCUUUUAACAUUCAAGGAUUAGAGCUCCCUCUUUGCCCACUAGCAGGGCAUUAGCUGGUGCUGAAGACAGUGGCUGCUUGGCGAGCCUGGAUCUCCAAGUGACCCCCUCAGCAACUCCUGAUGAACAGGACUGAAGCCAAUAUUAAAGCAAGUCAACCAAAGGUUCUCUGGUGUAGACAAGACAGCAAAAGGACAGACUACCUUGUGGAACCUAGCAUUGUUCUCCUUCUGCAGCACUAAGUAACAUUUGUUCUCCGUUAAGAUCUUUGCAAACCACACACAAGAAUUGCUGGUCAUCCUGCCAAUAGAUGCUGCUCACAGAACCAAAUUUCCUGUGCUGAAUUGUCACUCAUGGGCCUGAGAGUAGGAGACUGGAGACCAAGGUGGCUAGAAUCCAGUUGGGCCUGAUGUCUCCCUGUUGAAAGGGCUCCUUGUGGAAUGAAUAGCACAUGGCUCCUGUGGUGGAUCUGAUAGUGGCAUAGCACCAAGUGAUGCAGGCCUGCCAGGGGCCACAGACACAGAAGAUGCUCCCGGGGUCCCCCAUGUACUCCAGACACACUGCAGGCCACCUCUCCCAGCAGGUUGCCAGUCAUGGGCCCCAUCAUCAUGACUUCUGUCCAAGGUACUGUGUGCAGAAAUGUGAUUGAGAUUCAAGUCAGGGCCUCUCUGCCCUUUUCCCUCCAGAAACAAAACCAAGAUAAUUUAUCCUGAACACGGUGAAAAAAGGAAGGGAGGGAGGAGAAAAAGUCCGGGUCUCACCUGGGAUUCUCUGUCUCCUGCAACAUGAAGGAUUUAGCCUGGGAGGAGGUGGUGAGAACUCUGGGAGAGAAAAAAGAAGGAAAGAAUAGUUUUACCCAUGCUGAAGUUAAUUUAAACCUUCACCUAGAGAAGCAAAAAAAAAAACCCACACUUUCCCAUUUUGUGCCUCCCUUCCUAGAGUUUUAGCCAAAGGUUUAGCUAAGUAAUUGGUUUUACCAGGGCACUCACUCCUCCUAUCCCAAGUCUGUUUGACUCCCUCCCCAUCAUCCUCCUCACCUCUUUUCAGGCAGGGUGGGGAUAGCAGCAGGAGGAGAUUUUGGGAGCCUGGCAACUCCUGCAAGGACCGCAGGACAGCCCCUCUGUGGGGAUGCGUGGUGCCCCAUCUGCCGCCCUUCUGAAGAAUGCACUGCCUUCACUUUUUACUGUGUUAGAGUCCAUCCAGACUGUUCUAUCCAAAAAAGUUUCUUUUUCCCCCACAGGCAAUCAGGAAAUGAUUCCUUUCCCGACUGCUUCUGUCUAGUGCCUGGGAAUCUUGAGUCAAUCCCUCAGUAAGUCAGUGACUAGGGAAAUCCCUCUCUGAGACUCCCAGUUCAUGUUGCUUAGGGAACCUGAUAUUUUCGUGAAACCUGCCUACACAUGGGCAGCCCAACAGCAGAACAAAUGGUGGUGACCAAAGUGAACAAAGAAGUAUAGUUGUGCCAGCUUCGUAGUUGCCCAUGUGGACAAGUCAGCAGGAUCAGGACACGAGGAAGAGUAAAUGUGAGACAGUCAAUGUGACUUCUGCGAUAAACAGAUUUUUAAACCCCGAAAUUUUGCAAAAUUUUGGUGAAACCUGAACUUUCUUCGUUGCAUAUACUGGCACUAUCUGUACCAUCAUACAACCGUCUCACAUUAAAGCUAUUUUUCUUGGGCACUGAUGAGUAAGGUUGGUAUGUUUGAGUUCCUCAGAUCAACAAAAACCCAUUUUCCUGUAAGUCUUACAUUUAGUAUUUAAGGAACUAAAACUUAAAUACAUUUUGUGAAAUGGUUGACACUUCACUGAUAAUGAUUUAUUGCUUGGAUUAAUAAAUUUUCCAAAAGUUGUCUUAUGUAGAAUAUGGUUUGCAACCAGCAGAACCAUUAAUCUAUACUGCAAUGAUAUGCACUAUGUAUAAUUGUUUAAAAGCCUCUACUUAAUGAUGUAAAAUGCUCUAUUUAAUUACACAUUUGGGUAAACUGUAUACUAACAUCUGAUGGCAUUUUUCCACUGUUUGUUGCUUUUUUCAAAUACUUUAUUGUACAAAGCUGUUCUUAAUAUUUUUCAAGUUUUUUUCUUUGAAUUUUGCUAAUGUUUUCCUUGAAUUAUGAGCACUGACAGAAUGUGCUUAGCACUUUUGGCUAUUCACACAGCUUUUGAGCAUGAUUUGCAUCCAAUAUUUACAUUGCUAGCAAUAAUAAGCCAUCUGUGAGUUUUGUCAAAAGUUAUUGGGGAUUUUUUAAAUUUUAGAAAUGCAAAUUAUUGUUUCUUUGAACUAACUCUUAUGCAGUUGCAAAGGCAUUUCCAGUUGUUAUAGUUUGUGUACAAUAUCAGGUGUUCCAGAUUAUGAUUCAUUAUUAAUAUCAUUGCUUCCUUGUUCCCUCUGAGGUCCAGAAGAUUCAUGUUUACAAUAUUUAGAAACAAUGUUAAAAAGGU